GCGAACGGACGAGGAGCUUGCUUCUCUGAUGUUAGCGGCGGACGGGUGAGUAACACGUGGAUAACCUACCCAUAAGACUGGGAUAACUUCGGGAAACCGGAGCUAAUACCGGAUAAUAUUUUGAACCGCAUGGUUCAAAAGUAAAAGACGGUCUUGCUGUCACUUAUAGAUGGAUCCGCGCUGCAUUAGCUAGUUGGUAAGGUAACGGCUUACCAAGGCAACGAUGCAUAGCCGACCUGAGAGGGUGAUCGGCCACACUGGAACUGAGACACGGUCCAGACUCCUACGGGAGGCAGCAGUAGGGAAUCUUCCGCAAUGGGCGAAAGCCUGACGGAGCAACGCCGCGUGAGUGAUGAAGGUCUUCGGAUCGUAAAACUCUGUUAUUAGGGAAGAACAUAUGUGUAAGUAACUGUGCACAUCUUGACGGUACCUAAUCAGAAAGCCACGGCUAACUACGUGCCAGCAGCCGCGGUAAUACGUAGGUGGCAAGCGUUAUCCGGAAUUAUUGGGCGUAAAGCGCGCGUAGGCGGUUUUUUAAGUCUGAUGUGAAAGCCCACGGCUCAACCGUGGAGGGUCAUUGGAAACUGGAAAACUUGAGUGCAGAAGAGGAAAGUGGAAUUCCAUGUGUAGCGGUGAAAUGCGCAGAGAUAUGGAGGAACACCAGUGGCGAAGGCGACUUUCUGGUCUGUAACUGACGCUGAUGUGCGAAAGCGUGGGGAUCAA
RNAcentral lists this ribosomal RNA (723 nucleotides) under uncultured Staphylococcus sp. Its description in RNAcentral is "bacterial SSU rRNA". It matches the Rfam family "Bacterial small subunit ribosomal RNA", at positions 66 to 771 of the family's 1533-position model. Lineage: Bacteria; Bacillati; Bacillota; Bacilli; Caryophanales; Staphylococcaceae. The record is from RNAcentral.